RNAcentral lists this ribosomal RNA (775 nucleotides) under uncultured Neocallimastigales. Its description in RNAcentral is "partial large subunit ribosomal RNA". It matches the Rfam family "Eukaryotic large subunit ribosomal RNA", at positions 23 to 645 of the family's 3401-position model. The record is from RNAcentral. Lineage: Eukaryota; Fungi; Neocallimastigomycota; Neocallimastigomycetes; Neocallimastigales.
AGAGAGAGACAUGCGCGCAUAUCAAUAAGCGGAGGAAAAGAAACUAACAAGGAUUCCCUUAGUAACGGCGAGUGAAGCGGGAAGAGCUCAAAUUUGAAAUCUUCGAGGUUUUACCUUGACGAAUUGUAGUUUAAAGAAGUGUUUUCUGCUGAAGUUUUGGUAAAAGUUCUUUGGAAUAGGACAUCAUAGAGGGUGAGAAUCCCGUAUUUGACCAUUAUUUUCAGCUUUGUGAUACACUUUCAAAGAGUCGGAUUGUUUGGGAAUGCAGUCCAAAAUGGGUGGUAAAUUUCAUCUAAAGCUAAAUAUUGGCGAGAGACCGAUAGCGAACAAGUACCGUGAGGGAAAGAUGAAAAGAACUUUGAAAAGAGAGUUAAACAGUACGUGAAAUUGUCAAAAGGGAAGCGUUUGACACCAGUGUUGUUUUCUCGAAAAUCAAUUAAAAAUGGCUCGAUUUUGUAUUGCUGAGACCUUAAAAGCUCACUGUACAUUUUUCGUGUCUUUUUUAAUGCACUUUUCGUUUAACAAGUCAACAUCAGUUUCUUUUGUUGUAAAAGGGUCAUUGGAAGGUGGCUUUCUUUUCGGAGAAAGUGUUUAUAGCCUUUGGCCUCUGCAAUCGGAAGAGACUGAGGUCUGCAGCGUAGACUCUUCGGGGUUAGAUACAUUUGUGCUAAGUUAUAGCUUUUUAUAGACAACUUGUUGACUAUAAUUAGUCUUGUAGCUUACUCGCUUAUGCUAUUUUACCUACGCUUAGGAUGUUGAAGUCAUCGUAUCGCGC